GACGAACGCUGGCGGCGUGCUUAACACAUGCAAGUCGAACCGAAAGGCCCCUUUGGGGGUACUCGAGUGGCGAACGGGUGAGUAACACGUGAGUAACCUGCCCUUGACUUCGGGAUAACUUCAGGAAACUGGGGCUAAUACCGGAUAGGAAUCCUUGCUGCAUGGUGGGGGUUGGAAAGCUUCGGCGGUUUUGGAUGGACUCGCGGCUUAUCAGCUUGUUGGUGGGGUAGUGGCUUACCAAGGCUUUGACGGGUAGCCAGCCUGAGAGGGCGACCGGCCACAUUGGGACUGAGAUACGGCCCAGACUCCUACGGGAGGCAGCAGUGGGGAAUAUUGCACAAUGGGCGGAAGCCUGAUGCAGCAACGCCGCGUGCGGGAUGACGGCCUUCGGGUUGUAAACCGCUUUCAGCAGGGGCGAAGCUUGUGGUGACGGUACCUGCAGAAGAAGCACCGGCUAACUACGUG
Molecule: ribosomal RNA, 465 nt
Filed under: uncultured bacterium
Lineage: Bacteria
Description: partial 16S ribosomal RNA
Rfam family: Bacterial small subunit ribosomal RNA
Source: RNAcentral